Long non-coding RNA from Toxorhynchites rutilus septentrionalis, 679 nucleotides. RefSeq lists it as uncharacterized. The transcript is spliced from 3 exons. The record is from RefSeq and is a predicted model, not a curated record. NCBI's taxonomy places the organism in Eukaryota, Metazoa, Arthropoda, Insecta, Diptera, Culicidae.
AGAACAUGUGUAAUCAAAUGGGAGCAUACACACUAGGCAACUGGCAACUUUGGUCGGACCAACUUUUUCGAUUCAACUCAGCAUGUCGAGUCGCGCGCGAUUUGUGUCGGCAACCUUUUCGUUCAAUUGCUGUUGACGUUUUGAUUUCUGCGUUCAUUGAAUUUCAAUAUCUGUCAGUGGUGAUGCAAAACAGUGUUUACAAUAUUGGCGCAUCUGUUUCUAUGAACGAACGAGAUGAAAUGCCAUCAAUAUGCAAGUUCUCUUGAUAUACCGUCCGGGAAGAGUGCUGAAUUGGUCAAGGAUGCGUAUAAUAUUGGAGAUUGAGGAAGAAGCACAGAAUCCGCUGGAUGUGUUUUUUCCAAGUUAACAGCAAUUGUUGCUGUCUGUUGUUAUCAGCGAGCCGAAAUAAGUAUGUUAGAUAGCCUAAGAUUGGAUAAUUCUGGUCAGAUUUCCCGGGAAACCGUUAUCAUCCCUGAUUCUCGAUUGUACCAUGUGCGAAGGUGCGGUCUGCGAAUAUGUGACCCCUGGGAGAAUUUUUCAUAUUUAGCGUUAGUGUAUACAUAAAUCAUUCUUUAGAAGAAUUGUUGAAAAUUUUUCUGUUUUCUUUAUAUAAUUCUUUUCGGCUGUAUUCUUAUUUCAAUGAUUUUUUUAUGUUUGUAAAUAUUGUUUGCUGGUUUGU